GAAGAAAUACCUAAGAGGUCAACAGGAACAGAUUGUAAAUCUGCUGCGAAAGCUUCAGAGGUUCGAAUCCUCUUUUCUUCA
RNAcentral lists this transfer RNA (81 nucleotides) under Candidatus Carsonella ruddii PV. Its description in RNAcentral is "tRNA-Tyr (GTA) (tRNA-Tyr-GTA-1-1)". It matches the Rfam family "tRNA". Rfam says of the family: Transfer RNA (tRNA) molecules are approximately 80 nucleotides in length. Their secondary structure includes four short double-helical elements and three loops (D, anti-codon, and T loops). Further hydrogen bonds mediate the characteristic L-shaped molecular structure. tRNAs have two regions of fundamental functional importance: the anti-codon, which is responsible for specific mRNA codon recognition, and the 3' end, to which the tRNAs corresponding amino acid is attached (by aminoacyl-tRNA synthetases). tRNAs cope with the degeneracy of the genetic code in two manners: having more than one tRNA (with a specific anti-codon) for a particular amino acid; and 'wobble' base-pairing, i.e. permitting non-standard base-pairing at the 3rd anti-codon position. The record is from RNAcentral. Lineage: Bacteria; Pseudomonadati; Pseudomonadota; Gammaproteobacteria; Oceanospirillales; Halomonadaceae.